AACGAUGAAGCCCAGCUUGCUGGGUGGAUUAGUGGCGAACGGGUGAGUAACACGUGAGUAACCUGCCCUUAACUCUGGGAUAAGCCUGGGAAACUGGGUCUAAUACCGGAUAGGAGCGUCCACCGCAUGGUGGGUGUUGGAAAGAUUUAUCGGUUUUGGAUGGACUCGCGGCCUAUCAGCUUGUUGGUGAGGUGAUGGCUCACCAAGGCGACGACGGGUAGCCGGCCUGAGAGGGUGACCGGCCACACUGGGACUGAGACACGGCCCAGACUCCUACGGGAGGCAGCAGUGGGGAAUAUUGCACAAUGGGCGCAAGCCUGAUGCAGCGACGCCGCGUGAGGGAUGACGGCCUUCGGGUUGUAAACCUCUUUCAGUAGGGAAGAAGCGAAAGUGACGGUACCUGCAGAAGAAGCACCGGCUAACUACGUGCCAGCAGCCGCGGUAAUACGUAGGGUGCGAGCGUUAUCCGGAAUUAUUGGGCGUAAAGAGCUCGUAGGCGGUUUGUCGCGUCUGUCGUGAAAGUCCGGGGCUUAACCCCGGAUCUGCGGUGGGUACGGGCAGACUAGAGUGCAGUAGGGGAGACUGGAAUUCCUGGUGUAGCGGUGGAAUGCGCAGAUAUCAGGAGGAACACCGAUGGCGAAGGCAGGUCUCUGG
This 654-nucleotide ribosomal RNA is filed under the name uncultured Actinomycetes bacterium. Its description in RNAcentral is "bacterial SSU rRNA". It matches the Rfam family "Bacterial small subunit ribosomal RNA", at positions 65 to 732 of the family's 1533-position model. The record is from RNAcentral. Lineage: Bacteria; Bacillati; Actinomycetota; Actinomycetes.